AUCACUUCUCAGCCUUUUGGCUAAGAUCAAGUGUAGCAUCUGUUGUUAUCAUUUUAAUAUCUGAUACACCCUCUAUCCGAGGACAAUAUAUUAAGUGGAUUUUUGGAGCAGGCUUC
Small nuclear RNA from Cervus hanglu yarkandensis (Yarkand deer), 116 nucleotides. Its record names the gene U2. It matches the Rfam family "U2 spliceosomal RNA". Rfam says of the family: U2 is a small nuclear RNA (snRNA) component of the spliceosome (involved in pre-mRNA splicing). Complementary binding between U2 snRNA (in an area lying towards the 5' end but 3' to hairpin I) and the branchpoint sequence (BPS) of the intron results the bulging out of an unpaired adenosine, on the BPS, which initiates a nucleophilic attack at the intronic 5' splice site, thus starting the first of two transesterification reactions that mediate splicing. Lineage: Eukaryota; Metazoa; Chordata; Mammalia; Artiodactyla; Cervidae. The record is from Ensembl.